GAAAUGCGAUAAGUAAUGUGAAUUGCAGAAUUCAGUGAAUCAUCGAAUCUUUGAACGCACCUUGCGCUCCUUGGUAUUCCUUGGAGCAUGCCUGUUUGCGUAUCAUGAAAUCUUCAAAGUAAAUCUUUUGUUAACUCAAUUGGUUUCUACUUUGGUAUUGGAGGUCUUUGCAGCUUCACACCUGCUCCUCUUUGUUCAUUAGCUGGAUCUCAGUGUUAUGCUUGGUUCCACUCGGCGUGAUAAGUUAUCUAUCGCUGAGGACACUGUAAAAGGUGGCCAAGGUAAAUGCAGAUGAACCGCUUCUAAUAGUCCAUUGACUUGGACAAUACUUUUAUGAUCUGAUAUCAAAUCAGGUAGGACUACCCGCUGAACUUAAGC
RNAcentral lists this unclassified non-coding RNA (378 nucleotides) under plant metagenome. RNAcentral describes it as "partial contains 5.8S ribosomal RNA, internal transcribed spacer 2, and large subunit ribosomal RNA". The stretch from base 1 to 105 matches the Rfam family "5.8S ribosomal RNA", at positions 50 to 154 of the family's 154-position model. The record is from RNAcentral.